RNAcentral lists this ribosomal RNA (453 nucleotides) under uncultured Acidobacteriota bacterium. Its description in RNAcentral is "uncultured Acidobacteria bacterium partial 16S ribosomal RNA". It matches the Rfam family "Bacterial small subunit ribosomal RNA", at positions 338 to 794 of the family's 1533-position model. The record is from RNAcentral. Lineage: Bacteria; Pseudomonadati; Acidobacteriota.
CCUACGGGAGGCAGCAGUGGGGAAUCUUGCGCAAUGGGCGAAAGCCUGACGCAGCAACGCCGCGUGGAGGAUGAAGGCCUUCGGGUCGUAAACUCCUGUCAGUGGGGACGAAAGCUUCGAAAGAGGCUUGACUGUACCCGCUGAGGAAGCCACGGCUAACUCCGUGCCAGCAGCCGCGGUAAUACGGAGGUGGCAAGCGUUGUUCGGAAUUACUGUGCGUAAAGGGCGCGUAGGCGGCAGGGCAAGUCAGAUGUGAAAGCCCCGGGUUUAACUGGGAAAUGGCAUCUGAAACUGCCUGGCUUGAGUUCUGGAGGGGGUAGUGGAAUUCCCAGUGUAGGGGUGAAAUGCGUAGAUAUUGGGAGGAACACCUGUGGCGAAGGCGGCUACCUGGACAGAAACUGACGCUGAGGCGCGAAAGCUAGGGGAGCGAACGGGAUUAGAUCCCCAAGUAGU